GCCGGGCAUGGUGGCUCAUGCCUGUAAUCCCAGCGCUUUGGGAGGCCGAGAUGGGUGGAUCACCUGAGGUCAGGAGUUUGAGACCAGCCUGGCCAACAUGGUGAAACCCCGUCUCUA
Macaca fascicularis (crab-eating macaque) is the source of this 117-nucleotide unclassified non-coding RNA. It matches the Rfam family "Metazoan signal recognition particle RNA". From Rfam's summary of the family: The signal recognition particle (SRP) is a universally conserved ribonucleoprotein. It is involved in the co-translational targeting of proteins to membranes. The eukaryotic SRP consists of a 300-nucleotide 7S RNA and six proteins: SRPs 72, 68, 54, 19, 14, and 9. The record is from Ensembl. Lineage: Eukaryota; Metazoa; Chordata; Mammalia; Primates; Cercopithecidae.